AUUGAACGCUGGCGGCAGGCCUAACACAUGCAAGUCGAACGAGUGGCGGACGGGUGAGUAAUGUCUGGGAAACUGCCCGAUGGAGGGGGAUCACUACUGGAAACUGUAGCUAAUACCGCCUACCAUCGGAUGUGCCCAGAUGGGAUUAGCUAGUAGGUGGGGUAACGGCGCACCUAGGCGGCGUUCCCUAGCUGGUCUGAGAGGAUGACCAACGAGCCUGGAGCGGUGAAACUGUCCAGAGGCCUACGGGAGGCAGCAGUGGGGAAUAUGUCACAAAGGGCUCAAGCAUGAUGCAGCCAUGCCGCGUGUAUGAAGAAGGCCUUGGGGUAGUAAAGUACUUUCAGCGAGGAGGCGUUACUCGCAGAAGAAGCACCGGCUAACUCCGUGCCAGCAGCCGCGGUAAUAC
RNAcentral lists this ribosomal RNA (406 nucleotides) under uncultured bacterium. RNAcentral's name for it is "partial 16S ribosomal RNA". It matches the Rfam family "Bacterial small subunit ribosomal RNA", at positions 30 to 526 of the family's 1533-position model. The record is from RNAcentral.